CACCCCACAGUAUAUGGAGUUCCUGGGCCAGGGAUCAGAUCUGAGUCAUAGUUGUGACCUAAGCUGCAGCUGAGGCAACACCAGAUCCUUAAUCCACUGUGCUGGGCAGGGAUAGAACCUGUGUCCCAAUGCUCCCAAGAGGCAGCUAAUCUGUUGUGCCACAGUGGUAACUCCAUUCACUGUUUUGUUUUGUUUUUUUAAGAGCCACAGUUGCAACAUAUGGAAGAUCCCAGGCUAGGGGUCCAAUUGGAACUACAGCUGCCAGCUCCAGCCUAUGCCACAGCCACAACAAUGCAAUAUCAGAGCGGCAUCUGCAACCUACACCAAAGCUCAAGGCAAAUGCCAGAUCCUCAACCCACUGAAUGGGGCCAGGCAUCGAACCCACGGCCUCAUGGAUACUAGUUGGUUUGUUUCUGCUGAGCCACAGUGAUAACUCCUAUUCAAUGCUUUUUAAUGUGAAGUAGUAUUCCAUGGUUUGGAUUUACCCCAGUCUGGUUUAUCAUUCGCCCACUGAAAGACAUUUGGUCUGCUUCUUGUUUUGGGCUUUUAUGAAUAAAACUACUAUCAACAUUCACUUACAGGUUUUCUAUAAACAAAUGUUCUUAUUUGGGGGGUGGGGGAGAAUGCCCAAUGGUGCAUUUGCUAGGUUUUAAUUUGCAUUUCCCUGAACACUAAUAAUGUUGAUUGUCUUUUCACGCUUUUUGCACUUGUUUUAAUUCUCCUAUUUAGCACCAAGAUUUGCAUUUUUAGCGACUGGGAAAAUAAAAGAAAAUUUGAUUUUUAAAAAUCUAUCCUCACAUUCUUUCCUCCAUGGAGACUACAAUUCCUCUUGACUAAAUUUCUUAUCCAAAAUCAAGUAGAUCAUCAUUAAGUAUCCUUACACAGAACUGUGGUUAUUCUAAAGAUGCUGAAAUGGAUAUUCAUUUAUACACUCCCCUUGGAAACCUUUUUAAUAAGAAAAAAUUUCAAACAUACAGUAAAGUUAAUAAUAACCAUUAUUCCAUUAUAACCACUCUCAUGUAACAAUUGUCCCCAGCUUCAUUAAUUACCAACAUUUUGCCAAUAUUUUUCAACUCUGCAAUUUGUAUUAUUUUUUCCAGAGUAUUUUAAAGCAAAUCCUUACAUCAUAUAACUUCACUCAUGAAUUAAUAGUUUUCUUGACAAAGUGGUCAUGAGAUUGUCUAAGCUGGAGGACACAUAAGUCGACUUUGGAGGAAAGCUUCAAAAUGCUCUUUUACUGUUGUUGAAAAAACAAAGCAUUGCAGAAGAUGACCUACUGGGCAGGUAUACUUCUUGGAAUGUUUUACUGAAUUAUUUUUUAACGUAAUUACUCUUUUUCUAGACUGAACACCAGUGUUUUAUAUGUACCAGUAGAUAUAGAGUGGAGGACACCACUGUUUUAUAUGUAUAAGUACAUUUUGGGCUAUGAUCUUGAUAAAAUGAACAAGAUGUUUCCUUAUUAAAUGGAAGGUCACAUAAGAUAAACAGAAGCAUCUAUUCCAUGUAUAAGACAGUUGUUUCUCUGAUUUUAAGCCUUCAUUUUUCCCUUUUUACCAUGAGAAAUGACUUUUCAUUUGACUCCUGAGUAACUUUUGUAAAUAUGUUCAAUUUAAGCACAAACUCAGCUGUCCUUGGCAUAUUUCUGCUUCUCCAUGAUACUAUAGAUGACAAUGAGGUCAUUUCACAAUUGCUUCUUUUCUGAAAAACACAGCUGGCUCGGUUUGGUAGCAACAUUCUCAUUGCUGCAUUUCCCAAGUCACCACAGUACUUCAACUGAUCUCUUCAGAACAGAUUGUAUCUAUGUAAUAUUCUUUCACAAUAAAAUCCCUAUAAUCAAAUGACUACAAUAGCCAGGAGUGGUAUGCCUCUUACUUCGGACCAGAAUUGUUCUAUCCCAUAUCCUUUCAAUAACUCUAGCUCACUGAAGGUUCAGGUUUUUUCAAACCAGGAAUAAGUGAUGGUUGACAUUUGUCUUCCAACCAUUCCUUACCAGGGGUAUUGUGACAGAACUCCUUUGGAUCUUAUAUAGAUUAUAAUAAUUCAUAAAUUACUUGGUUUCCCUAUCAUUUUGUGGGGUUUUUUUUUUUAUUAAGAGUCACUUUUGCUCCUUCUUUCUAAACAUGGUUACAUAUCUUACAACAACUUAUGGUAUACUUAAGAAUGUGCUAAACAGAAGCAUGCUCAAGAUCCCUCUAAAUAAUCUCUCAUUGUACACAUAUUUUCCCUUCAGAAAAAAAGGAAAAUUCAACACAAUUUUAACUAUUUCUCUCCACUCUUAUUGCCAUAUCCCAAGAACCAGAACUGAGGACACUGCUGGCUCACAGAAGGAGCUAUGAGAGCUAUCAAUUUAUUGCCUUUCAGCUCCGAAUCUGCCCUUUGCUAUCUGCUCCAUGGUAAAUGUAGAUGGACUCAGCAAAUAGAAUUCCUUGGCCAAUUGGCACAGUGUUUAGGUUUUGUCAAUAGAAGGUGCUACACGGGCAUUCCCAUUGUGGCUUAAUAGGUUAUGAACCUGACUAGUAUUCAUGAAGACACGGGUUUGAUCGCUGGUCUCACUCAGUAGGUCAGGGAUCUGGUGUUGCCGUGAGCUGUGGUAUAGGUCACAGACAUGGCUCAGAGCUCAUGUUGCUGUGGCUGUGGUGUAAGCUGGCAGCUCCAGCUCUGAUUUGACCCCUAUCCUGGGAACUUCUAUAUGCCGCAGGUGUGGCCCUAAAAAGCAAAAAAAAAAAAAAAAAGAAGAAGAAGAAGAAGAAAAAGAAGCCUCUGUAGCACACAGGGCUACACAUCCAGGAACCGUAGCACAAUUUACUUCUCUGGUUCCUGGCUCCCCGUGGCAUACUGUGGCCAUUAGGGUCCUGUGUCAGCAGCUUUCCCCAGCACCUCCUCAGGAGGGCUCUGAAGUGAAACAAGACACUUCUCUGUGAAUAGCUUCCCUGGCAUAUCUUCAGGUGGCUUUCUGGCAACUUCUGAAGUGUGGCACCCCCCCAUCCGCAAUGGGACAGCUUCCAUUGCCUUAGAGGCAAAUUUCAAGCCAGUUCUGCUAGCAUGGUACCCUAGCAACUUCUCUGCCACCCAGCAAGUCACAACUACACACUUUCCAACCAGGUCUGGAUCUCAUUCCUGAAGGCCUCUCGUUUGGAUACCACACCUCAACCCUAGCAUAGUGGCUUCUAGGACAAUGAGAGGGUUAAUACAUUUGCAAAGAGAAUCUAGACUGUAAAGCCAGUAGAAAUGUCCCUGAAUAUCAGAUUUCAAAAAUACUAGAUUUCAAGACUGCCUUUAACUCAGCUGCAUAACACUCUUCCCGUUCUUCUCCCACACUCAACUCCUAACAACAAAGGAAUAAAUGAAUAAGUAAAUAAAUAGAUAGGUAAUUUAAUUCCUGUUCUUUAAAAUCUCACUGUUAGGAAAUGCUGCUUAAUGUCAAAAUUAAAUUCCUCACCCA
Molecule: long non-coding RNA, 3442 nt
Filed under: Sus scrofa (pig)
Lineage: Eukaryota; Metazoa; Chordata; Mammalia; Artiodactyla; Suidae
Description: lncRNA (ENSSSCG00025036903.1)
Source: RNAcentral